UACAGAGGGUGCGAGCGUUGUCCGGAUCACUGGGCGUAAAGGGCGCGUAGGCGGCCUGACAAGUGGAUGGUGAAAUCCCUCGGCUUAACCGAGGAACUGCCAUCCAGACUGUUUGGCUUGAGACCGGGAGAGGUGAGUGGAAUUCCCAGUGUAGCGGUGAAAUGCGUAGAUAUUGGGAGGAACACCAGUGGCGAAGGCGGCUCACUGGACCGGUACUGACGCUGAUGCGCGAAAGCGUGGGGAGCAAACGGG
RNAcentral lists this ribosomal RNA (252 nucleotides) under uncultured bacterium. RNAcentral describes it as "partial 16S ribosomal RNA". It matches the Rfam family "Bacterial small subunit ribosomal RNA", at positions 524 to 776 of the family's 1533-position model. The record is from RNAcentral.